This 406-nucleotide ribosomal RNA is filed under the name uncultured bacterium. RNAcentral describes it as "partial 16S ribosomal RNA". It matches the Rfam family "Bacterial small subunit ribosomal RNA", at positions 30 to 526 of the family's 1533-position model. The record is from RNAcentral.
AUUGAACGCUGGCGGCAGGCCUAACACAUGCAAGUCGAACGAGUGGCGGACGGGUGAGUAAUGUCUGGGAAACUGCCCGAUGGAGGGGGAUAACUACUGGAAACGGUAGCUAAUACCGCAUACCAUCGGAUGUGCCCAUAUGGGAUUAGCUAGUAGGUGGGGUAACGGAUCACCUAGGCCACGAUCCCUAGCUGGUCUGAGAGGAUGAACAUCAACACUGGAAUUGAUACACGGUCCAGACUCCUACGGGAGGCAGCAGUGGGGAAUAUUGCACCAUGGGAGCAAGCCUGAUGCAGCCAUGCCGGGUGUAUGAAGAAGGCCUUCGGGUUGUAAAGUACUUUCAUCGGGGAGGCGUGACUCGCAGAAGAAGCACCGGCUAACUCCGUGCCAGCAGCCGCGGUAAUAG